GAUGAACGCUGGCGGCGUGCCUAAUACAUGCAAGUCGAGCGAACAGACGAGGAGCUUGCUCCUCUGACGUUAGCGGCGGACGGGUGAGUAACACGUGGAUAACCUACCUAUAAGACUGGGAUAACUUCGGGAAACCGGAGCUAAUACCGGAUAAUAUAUUGAACCGCAUGGUUCAAUAGUGAAAGACGGUUUUGCUGUCACUUAUAGAUGGAUCCGCGCCGCAUUAGCUAGUUGGAAGGUAACGGCUUACCAAGGCAACGAUGCGUAGCCGACCUGAGAGGGUGAUCGGCCACACUGGAACUGAGACACGGUCCAGACUCCUACGGGAGGCAGCAGUAGGGAAUCUUCCGCAAUGGGCGAAAGCCUGACGGAGCAACGCCGCGUGAGUGAUGAAGGUCUUCGGAUUGUAAAACUCUGUUAUUAGGGAAGAACAAAUGUGUAAGUAACUAUGCACGUCUUGACGGUACCUAAUCAGAAAGCCACGGCUAACUACGUG
This 496-nucleotide ribosomal RNA is filed under the name uncultured bacterium. Its description in RNAcentral is "partial 16S ribosomal RNA". It matches the Rfam family "Bacterial small subunit ribosomal RNA", at positions 28 to 507 of the family's 1533-position model. The record is from RNAcentral.